Molecule: ribosomal RNA, 263 nt
Filed under: uncultured bacterium
Lineage: Bacteria
Description: partial small subunit ribosomal RNA
Rfam family: Bacterial small subunit ribosomal RNA
Source: RNAcentral
AGGACGAACGCUGGCGGCGUGCUUAACACAUGCAAGUCGAGCGGUAAGGCCUCCUUCGGGGGGUACACGAGCGGCGAACGGGUGAGUAACACGUGGGUGACCUGCCCUCAGCUCUGGGAUAAGCCUGGGAAAACCGGGUCUAAUACCGGAUAGGACUGCUUGCCGCAUGGUGGGUGGUGGAAAGUUUUUUCGGCUGGGGAUGGGCCCGCGGCCUAUCAGCUUGUUGGUGGGGUGAUGGCCUACCAAGGCGGUGACGGGUAGCC